AACGCUGCGGCAUGCCUAACACAUGCAAGUCGAACGCCGCGGCCGCCUUCGGGCGGCAUGUGGAGUGGCGGACGGGUGAGUAACGCGUAGGAACCUGCCCGGAAGUGGGGGACAACCGCUGGAAACGGCGGCUAAUACCGCAUACGCCCCAAGGGGGAAAGGCUUCGGCCGCUUUCGGAGGGUCCUGCGUUCGAUUAGCUAGUCGGUGAGGUGACGGCUCACCGAGGCGACGAUCGAUAGCUGGUCUGAGAGGAUGAUCAGCCACACUGGGACUGAGACACGGCCCAGACUCCUACGGGAGACAGCAGAGGGGAAUAUUGGACAAUGGGCGAAAGCCUGAUCCAGCAAUGCCGCGUGUGUGACGAAGGCCCUAGGGUUGUAAAGCACUUUCACUCGCGAGGAUGAUGACGGUAGCGGGAGAAGAAGCCCCGGCUAACUCCGUGCCAGCAGCCGCGGUAAUACGGAGGGGGCGAGCGUUGUUCGGAAUUACUGGGCGUAAAGGGCGUGUAGGCGGCCUUGUCAGUCAGGCGUGAAAUCCCCGGGCUCAACCUGGGACGUGCGCUUGAUACU
This 570-nucleotide ribosomal RNA is filed under the name uncultured sponge symbiont JAWS8. RNAcentral describes it as "bacterial SSU rRNA". It matches the Rfam family "Bacterial small subunit ribosomal RNA", at positions 32 to 634 of the family's 1533-position model. The record is from RNAcentral.